Molecule: long non-coding RNA, 1513 nt
Organism: Panicum virgatum (switchgrass)
Lineage: Eukaryota; Viridiplantae; Streptophyta; Magnoliopsida; Poales; Poaceae
Exons: 3
Source: RefSeq, a predicted model, not a curated record
ACCGAUUAAUAUGGACCGUCGGAUGUUGACUAGGUUUAUGAAAUCUCCAACCUGAUUGCAACGUUUCCUCCGACCCCUUUGCUAGGGCCGCCAUCUCAGGUUCACGGACCCUCUACUCACACGGUCGCCCUCUCCCAUUAAGUCCCCCCUUGGUCCUCCCAGGCAUCGCUGCUGGUCCUCCUCCAUCGAUUGGGCUACGGGAUACUUUAGGGAAGCAAGGCAGUAGGGAGAAAGGGAGCGGAGAAAUUAGGAAGGGAGUAGCAGGAGAAAGGUUCGAUGAAUUCUAGUGGCGAGCGUGUGACGCCGGAUUCUCAGCAAGGUUAAGACAAGUGCAAUGACGAACCUCUUGAUGUGUGAUUAUAUUUGUGGCUUUCUUUCUGCCCUUGGGCGACGUUUAUUCAAUGUCUUUAUUUCAUAUGUAAAUUUCUUUAAGCAUCAUGUCAUAAUUUUUUGAUUCUAUCAAAUGUUCAAGAUCAGUGUGUUGCCUUUCAUAUCGUUCAAGUGCCGGGGGUUUGCAUAAACACCGGUUGUGCAAUUUGGUUCGUAUGUUCAGGUUCCUAUGAAUAAGUGCUGGCCCCACUUAUUCGGCUUUACGGAUAAAUGCUAAUAAAGUUUCAGGUGAUGUCCGUUUCAGGCGGAAACUACUGUUUCAUUGUUGUUCCAUUGAUUCUGAAUUUCCAUUGUUCAUGUACUUGCAAUCAUUUUUUUCCGGUUCUGAAAUUUGCUUCCUCAGUAUAUUUACUCACUCUUUGCUUAUUUGACUUAGGUACUCGCUGAUCAAGUUUGCAUGGGAUGGGAGUAGCCACUUCAUGAUGAGCAUACAUACACUCAUUCAUUAAACAAACAUCUAGGCUGAAUAAUUCUUUUGGUAUUGAGAAUUGUCACGUGGUUGUUUGGUUGUUGCUUAAGAUUUAUUUAUUUGGUUGUGUUAGUUGAUGAGAAAGUUUAUUUACUAUCUUUAUAUUCACUCUGCUAUAUUUAUAUUUUAGUGCCACAGAUUUUAGAAUUUACGAAGGAGCCUCUAUCAAAAUUUACUAGAAUUUUAAUAUUUAGUGCAAUUUAAUGUCUAAAGUGGUAACUUCCAAAUAUAUCGAUACUUCAGGUGUUACGCACGCAAGACGACCCCGGGGUCGCUGCACCGCGGCGCAGGGUCAACGGCCCGAGCGGCCCAUCCCGACGCCAGCCGCGGUACUAUGCUUCGGAGAGCAUGCUGUUGCUGGACCCCGAGACCGGGGAGUACAGCGACGAGAAGACGCCGAGCUGCGGCAAGGACACGCUCGAGCAGUUCUUCGAAAGAGUGAUAUCAGAUCACAUAUUUUUUCUUUUUUAUUUAAGUGUUAGAUCAUCUUUCCUUUUUUUUAAAUGUGUACGAUUUUUAAAAAAAAUACUACGAUCUUACCUCGUUGUGUAGAGGUGUGCACUCUGCAUCAUUAUGUGUAGAAGAGGUGUGCACUUUGCAUCUGGAGGCAUAUAACAGAAUGGCAUGGAGGGCAAACCAAUUUUGAGCCCCGAA